UUACUAAAGGCUUAAUAUCAAAGAGAAGGUCUUUAUUAGAUGUCAUGUGGUCAGUGGCACCAUAGUCUAUAAUCCAAAUGCAAUCACUUAUUUUGGUUAGCAUGCAAGCCCCAUAAGAUAUAUUCUUUAAAUGGGUUGGAGAAAAAUUACCAGCAAAGUUGGUUGAUGCCAUAAGGCUGGACUGCUGCUUAGACUCUGAAAUCUGUGUCUGCUGGAGCAGCAUCAUAAGCUGGGAAUAUUGGUCUUUGGUUAAACCAGGUAUGAGAG
This 267-nucleotide long non-coding RNA is filed under the name Nicotiana benthamiana. RNAcentral's name for it is "long non-coding RNA (NBEN_LNC001642)". The record is from RNAcentral. Lineage: Eukaryota; Viridiplantae; Streptophyta; Magnoliopsida; Solanales; Solanaceae.